Molecule: ribosomal RNA, 551 nt
Filed under: uncultured bacterium
Lineage: Bacteria
Description: bacterial SSU rRNA
Rfam family: Bacterial small subunit ribosomal RNA
Source: RNAcentral
GUAGGGAAUCUUCGGCAAUGGACGGAAGUCUGACCGAGCAACGCCGCGUGAGUGAAGAAGGUUUUCGGAUCGUAAAGCUCUGUUGUUAGAGAAGAACGUUGGUAGGAGUGGAAAAUCUACCAAGUGACGGUAACUAACCAGAAAGGGACGGCUAACUACGUGCCAGCAGCCGCGGUAAUACGUAGGUCCCGAGCGUUGUCCGGAUUUAUUGGGCGUAAAGCGAGCGCAGGCGGUUCUUUAAGUCUGAAGUUAAAGGCAGUGGCUUAACCAUUGUACGCUUUGGAAACUGGAGGACUUGAGUGCAGAAGGGGAGAGUGGAAUUCCAUGUGUAGCGGUGAAAUGCGUAGAUAUAUGGAGGAACACCGGUGGCGAAAGCGGCUCUCUGGUCUGUAACUGACGCUGAGGCUCGAAAGCGUGGGGAGCAAACAGGAUUAGAUACCCUGGUAGUCCACGCCGUAAACGAUGAGUGCUAGGUGUUAGGCCCUUUCCGGGGCUUAGUGCCGCAGCUAACGCAUUAAGCACUCCGCCUGGGGAGUACGACCGCAAGGUUG